GAGGAAUAUUGGUCAAUGGACGGAAGUCUGAACCAGCCAAGUAGCGUGCAGGAUGACGGCCCUAUGGGUUGUAAACUGCUUUUGUAUGGGGAUAAAGUUAGGGACGUGUCCCUAUUUGCAGGUACCAUACGAAUAAGGACCGGCUAAUUCCGUGCCAGCAGCCGCGGUAAUACGGAAGGUCCGGGCGUUAUCCGGAUUUAUUGGGUUUAAAGGGAGCGUAGGCUGGAGAUUAAGUGUGUUGUGAAAUGUAGACGCUCAACGUCUGACUUGCAGCGCAUACUGGUUUCCUUGAGUACGCACAACGUUGGCGGAACUCGUCGUGUAGCGGUGAAAUGCUUAGAUAUGACGAAGAACUCCGAUUGCGAAGGCAGCUGACGGGAGCGCAACUGACGCUGAAGCUCGAAGGUGCGGGUAUCGAACAGGAUUAGAUACCCUGGUAGUCCGCACAGUAAACGAUGGAUGCCCGCUGUUGGUACCUGGUAUCAGCGGCUAAGCGAAAGCAUUAAGCAUCCCACCUGGGGAGUACGCCGGCAACGGUG
This 539-nucleotide ribosomal RNA is filed under the name uncultured bacterium. RNAcentral describes it as "bacterial SSU rRNA". It matches the Rfam family "Bacterial small subunit ribosomal RNA", at positions 356 to 896 of the family's 1533-position model. The record is from RNAcentral.